GCCUACGGGGGGCAGUAGUAGGGAAUCUUCCACAAUGGGCGAAAGCCUGAUGGAGCAACGCCGCGUGGGUGAAGAAGGUCUUCGGAUCGUAAAACCCUGUUGUUAGAGAAGAAAGUGCGUGAGAGUAACUGUUCACGUUUCGACGGUAUCUAACCAGAAAGCCACGGCUAACUACGUGCCAGCAGCCGCGGUAAUACGUAGGUGGCAAGCGUUAUCCGGAUUUAUUGGGCGUAAAGGGAACGCAGGCGGUCUUUUAAGUCUGAUGUGAAAGCCUUCGGCUUAACCGGAGUAGUGCAUUGGAAACU
Molecule: ribosomal RNA, 305 nt
Filed under: uncultured bacterium
Lineage: Bacteria
Description: bacterial SSU rRNA
Rfam family: Bacterial small subunit ribosomal RNA
Source: RNAcentral